NNNNNNNNNNUUUUUUUUUUUUUUUUUUUUUUUUAGUAAUAGCAUACACCUUUACAAUCAUUUUCAACAGUUUAAUUCAUUGUAAAUUAAAGAUUAUUAAAAAUAAUAUACACCAAUUUUUGCUUUAAAUAAAUAAGAUAAAAAAAUAAGAUAAAUAAGCCUUAAAAAAAAACAUAUAAAUUAUACAAAAUUAUUUUUGUAAAUUAUAAAAAUGCAAGAAAAUAAGAAAAGUGAACAGUUAUUGUUUCAAGAAGAAAACUGGAAAUGCGAAACUGAAAGUGAUGAUAGUAGUUUAGAAAUACAACAAAUAUAUAAAAAAAUAAAUGUGGUGGAAGGUAAAAGAGGUAGGAUAGUAAGGAUACUUUCUGAAUUUAUACAAGUUCAAAAUAUAUUAAGAGAUGAAAAUAUAUUUUUUACUGUUGUCAUGUUUGGAUCAGCCAGAUCGUAUAGCCAUGAGAGUUAUGAAUGUAGAAAAAACGAACUUGAAAAUAGGUUAAGCGAAAUUAAUGAAAAAAUCAAAAAAAAUAUAACAUUAGUUAAUGAAGAAAUAAAAGAAUAUGAAAAGUUACAAAAAGAUUUAGAGGCUUUACAAAAAUUAAAGUGGACUACUAAAUAUUAUAAUCAAAUUUAUGAAUUAUCAAAAAAGUUAACUUUAUUUUUUGCAACAGAUGAAGGAAAGCAGGCAGUAAAUAAAUUAUCUAUAUUAUUACCUAGGAAUCGCGAUUAUAUAAAAACUAAACACAUAGGAACAUAUAAAGGUAAGGAACAAUCGAAACAAUGGGAUGAACUGAAAUGCAAUGGUAAAGAUUCUAGUAACAUACAAAAUGAAAAAACAGUAUACAAUGUUGCUAUAUGUACUGGUGGUGGUCCAGGUUUUAUGGAAGCAGCAAAUAAAGGAAGUAAAGACGCAAAUGGAAAAUCUCUAGGUUUUAUGAUAUCAUUACCAUAUGAAAAAGAAGGUAAUAAAUAUAUUGAUAAACAUUUAUCUUUUAAAUUUCAUUAUUUUUUUACUAGAAAAUUUUGGUUAAUUUAUUUAUCAUUAGCAUUUAUUAUUUUUCCUGGCGGUUUUGGAACACUAGAUGAGUUAUUAGAAAUUUUAACGUUAAAACAGUGUAAAAAAUUAAAAAAAAAUGUACCUAUUGUUUUAUUUGGUAAAGAUUUUUGGGCUUCUAUUAUAAAUUUUAACAAAUUAGUUGAUUAUGGUCUAGUGUCACAAGAAGAUGUUGAUAAUAUUUUUGUUACAGAUUGUGUUGACGAAGCUUGUAAUUAUAUUAUUGAAUACUUGAAAAGUAAAAGUUUGGCAAAAAACACGUGACUGCUAUUUCAGUUUAUUUCUUUUUCAGAGAGCAAUCUACCUGACUGAUU
Molecule: long non-coding RNA, 1365 nt
Filed under: Piliocolobus tephrosceles (Ugandan red Colobus)
Lineage: Eukaryota; Metazoa; Chordata; Mammalia; Primates; Cercopithecidae
Description: lncRNA (ENSPTEG00000011752.1)
Source: RNAcentral